UAUUGUCUGGCACCCAAGCUGGACCCAUUCCUAGAAGUGGUAGGACUGGAAAACAUCAGGAUCAGGGACUCACAGACAGAUCCCUACUGAGUGGUUACUGGGCCUGGAAGAUUUCCACAGUGUGGCUUCUGGUCAGCUGCUCAGCAGAGGAGGAACUGGAGCCCACCUCAGCCCCUCUGGCCUGUCCUGGCCACAAAAAUCCCCCCAGCCUCUUGCACACCGAGGGGUGUGCUGUGUCUGGAGAGGCGUCGUGAAUCCGAGUAGUGCUGGAGAGCCGUGCCCUCCAAGAGGUGCCAGGAAACACUCCACAGGAAGUCUGGGGCUGUAGGGCCUGCUGAGGGAUGCCACCCACCGAGGAAAGGGGUGCAGAGCUCCCCACCCUUAGGAACACGGUUCAGGAAUUAUAUGUUCAGCACGAACGGGGCCCAUGUGAGAUCACGACCCUUCUGUCGUCUGUGUCAGUCAUCGUCUUUGAAGAUGGGCUCAUGACCCACUUGUUCAUUCUCCUGGACCAGCCAUCUUUCAAUCAUUCGUCAACAAUCUAGUAUUGUGUAAGGGGUAAGAAGGUAUCUGUUGCCACAUGCAGACCAUCUGAAACAGCGGCUUACAGCGACAGCAGCCGUUUGUUUGCCCACAGCUCUGCAAUUUGGCCAGGAUCCAGUGGGGACAGUCUGUCUCUGCUCCAUAUGCUGUCGGUUGGGGCCGCUCCACUGGGGUGGAUGGGCCACUCACGAGGCUGGUGAGCCAGUGCUGGCCUUCGGCUGGGAUCUCCACUUGGGCUGUGGGCCAGGGCUCCAGGCCUCCUACCCAAGCCUGUCCAUGUGGCUGCUUGGGCUUUUUCACAAUAGAGGAGCUGGGUUCCAAGAGCAAGGAUUCCGAGAAAACAAGCCCAGUGUGAAAGCGCUCGUCAAGUUUCCACCGACAGGACACUUGCUAAUGUCCCACUGGCCAAAGACAGUUCCGUGACGAGUCCAGAGUCAAUGUGGGGAAGAACCACUCAAGGGUGUGAGCACCAGGAGGCGUGGUUCGUUCUUGGCCACCAGAGUAACAGUUUCCCAUAGAGUAGGACCGUUCUUGUUUCCAUCAGGAGAAAAAAAUUGGGAAUCGGUGUUAUUUGCCCACUUGUAUGUUUUUUAUUAGCCAGAAACUUAAUACCAAUGUUUCCCAAGUUUUCAGCUGGCUUAAGAAAAUGGUGAGGAAAAAAGCUAUGAGAGGAAAAAAAUAUUAUGGGUAAAUAAAAUCAGGAAAAUAGAAGUUCUUAUUUUAAAAAAAAAAGAAAAAACUAUCCUGGAACCACAGGGAAGGGAGGCGCACAGAUGUGACGGGGGGAUGAUUAUGUGACAGAUGAAAAUCCAGGUGUAAUAGACACAAAGCACACAAAUGUCACCCAGAGGGGAAACGCCACAAGUUAACAGAGGUUCACGAAGAAAUAAUAAAGGCCAGUCAGAUACAGUCAGAAAAACAAAAGCAGGGAAGUAGUUCAAUUUUGUGAGCAGCAGCAUUUCAACUAGACUUACAAAAGGGUUGUUAAUUUGACUGAUAUUUUAUGUUUUUAUCAAUGACGAGACUGUUAAAAUAAUGAGAUGACUAAUACUCUGAAGGACUGGAUUAGAAUUCAAACUAACUGAACAAACAGAACGUCACGUUUUCUGAGCUGUUACCAUGUAAGAACUCCACAUACAUUUAACUUCACAAAACACUGAAGCCACAGAGAGUUGUAGCCAUUUUCUCAAGGUCACCCUGCUAGUCAGCGUGGGAGACAGGACCUGCAGCCAGGACCGUCUGCUUACUUUGAUCAACUUGUUAGAUAACAGAUUUCUGUAAAUGGAAGCAUUUGUCUCUUCAUUGACUCUGUGAAACUGGAAAAUAUAUUCCCAAAGAAAAAAAAUACUAAUCAAAGAUACAAUAGAAACAUCACGAGCAAGAAUUUUGAAGCUCUUCUAAUCCCCAAACUGAACUGAAAAACAUUUUUAAUGAAAUGAUGAUAAUUCUGGAAGUGAUUAACCAAAUCCAAUG
Equus asinus (donkey) is the source of this 2016-nucleotide long non-coding RNA. NCBI's taxonomy places the organism in Eukaryota, Metazoa, Chordata, Mammalia, Perissodactyla, Equidae. The record is from Ensembl.